CGGAGGGGCUAGCGUUGUUCGGAAUUACUGGGGCGUAAAGCGCGCGUAGGCGGCUUUGUAAGUUAGAGGUGAAAGCCCGGAGCUCAACUUCGGAAUUGCCUUUAAGACUGCAUCGCUAGAAUCGUGGAGAGGUGAGUGGAAUUCCGAGUGUAGAGGUGAAAUUCGUAGAUAUUCGGAAGAACACCAGUGGCGAAGGCGACUCACUGGACACGUAUUGACGCUGAGGUGCGAAAGCGUGGGGGAGCAAACAGGAUU
RNAcentral lists this ribosomal RNA (255 nucleotides) under uncultured bacterium. RNAcentral describes it as "partial 16S ribosomal RNA". It matches the Rfam family "Bacterial small subunit ribosomal RNA", at positions 527 to 779 of the family's 1533-position model. The record is from RNAcentral.